UACGUAGGGGGCAAGCGUUAUCCGGAUUUACUGGGUGUAAAGGGAGCGUAGACGGCAGCGCAAGUCUGGAGUGAAAUGCCGGGGCCCAACCCCGGAACUGCUCUGGAAACUGUGAAGCUGGAGUGCAGGAGAGGUAAGCGGAAUUCCUGGUGUAGCGGUGAAAUGCGUAGAUAUCACGAAGAACUCCGAUUGCGAAGGCAGCUUACCAGUCUGCGACUGACGCUCAGGCACGAAAGUGUGGGUAUCGAACAGG
RNAcentral lists this ribosomal RNA (253 nucleotides) under uncultured Eubacteriales bacterium. RNAcentral's name for it is "uncultured Clostridiales bacterium partial 16S ribosomal RNA". It matches the Rfam family "Bacterial small subunit ribosomal RNA", at positions 524 to 776 of the family's 1533-position model. The record is from RNAcentral. Lineage: Bacteria; Bacillati; Bacillota; Clostridia; Eubacteriales.